ACCUAAUGCACCUCUUAGUGCAGAGGAAGCCACGGGCCCAGAAGGUGAUUCUGAUCUGCCUGGAGUACUCCAAUCACCAGAUGUGAGGUCACAGCUAACAGCAGCUCCAAUGGCCCCAAGGAUCUUGGACAUCAGCAAGCUUUCAAGUCCGAGUAUGGCGUCUGUUGGUGCAGGGGGAGACGAUGUAGCAGAAGAGGCGGGUAGUCAUCAGGAUCUAGAGUCUUCUGAUGUUGCCCUUCAAGGAGGCUGGAAACCCCAAAGACUCCUAUGUGGAACAUGUUCACCACACCGCAAACAUGGCCACAAUACUCGGACCGUGUCGUGAGUGCACUGAAAAGUGGGAACAUCAUGGCAAACUGGGAUGCACUCAUCGCAGAGACCGCUUACUUCAUUUUGAAACAUCAUGACAUGAAAGCACCAUCAGAGUACGAUGAUGUAUGAAGGCUUGUCAGUGAGCGUUGGCCUUGCAUACUCUUUGAGGAGCAUGGCAAAAAACCAUGGAAUCACUUUGUAAAGAGACUUUCCCAGAAGAUGAGGAACAUAAGAUGGACCAGAAAAAGGAAGAUGGAACAAACCAAACAACCAGCUACAACUAGAAGGACUGCCGU
This is a long non-coding RNA of Patiria miniata (bat star), 608 nucleotides long. RefSeq lists it as uncharacterized. The record is from RefSeq and is a predicted model, not a curated record. The transcript is spliced from 3 exons. NCBI's taxonomy places the organism in Eukaryota, Metazoa, Echinodermata, Asteroidea, Valvatida, Asterinidae.